This 347-nucleotide unclassified non-coding RNA is filed under the name soil metagenome. RNAcentral describes it as "partial contains 5.8S ribosomal RNA, internal transcribed spacer 2, and large subunit ribosomal RNA". The stretch from base 1 to 120 matches the Rfam family "5.8S ribosomal RNA", at positions 35 to 154 of the family's 154-position model. The record is from RNAcentral.
GAUGAAGAACGUAGCGAAAUGCGAUAAGUAAUGUGGAUUGCAGAAUUCAGUGAAUCAUCGAAUCUUUGAACGCAACUUGCGCUCUCUGGUAUUCCGGAGAGCAUGCCUGUUUGAGUAUCAUGAAAUCUCAACCAUUAGGGUUUCUUAAUGGCUUGGAAUUGGGUGUUGCCAGUCGCCUGGCUCGCCUUAAAAGAGUUAGCGUGUCUAACUUGUCUAUCUGGCGUAAUAAGUUUCGCUGGUGUCGGCUUGAGAAGUACGCUUCUAAUCGUCUUCGGACAAUUCUUGAACUCUGGUCUCAAAUCAGGUAGGGCUACCCGCUGAACUUAAGCAUAUCAAUAAGCGGAGGA